Molecule: long non-coding RNA, 515 nt
Organism: Neoarius graeffei (lesser salmon catfish)
Lineage: Eukaryota; Metazoa; Chordata; Actinopteri; Siluriformes; Ariidae
Exons: 7
Source: RefSeq, a predicted model, not a curated record
AAAGCUGAACAGAAGUGUUUGCAAUUGAUGGAGUCCUCAAGUGUUGAGACAGAGGAUGAUGUGAACACUUUUGCAAUAAGGCAGCGUAAGCGCCCAAGGAGGUUUGUCUCCGAAUCCUCUGAUGAUGAUGAUUCUGCUCUAGUGGUAGCAGCAACCCAAGACUCUGACUGUGCCUGGAAGUCCUGUGUGUCGGCAGGACCCAAUGCCCCUACCACCACAAUGUAAGUGGUCAACACCAGCCGGGACUGGAGCCAGUCCUCACCACCCUAGCCCAAGUCCUGUUGACCCUGUUCAAGCCAGCAGCCGGGCACUACACCCAAUUCAGUCAGCCAGGCACCUCCAAGAAUCACUGGAAACCUCUUUUGACUCUGUUCAAGCCAGCAGCUGGGCGCUUCAUGACGGACAGGGUGUCUCAGCUAUCGCAGCCAUGUUUGAGAGAAUCACAGAGGCCCACAUGAGUCACUUGAUGCGGAGGAUCGAGGCUAGGUUUGACAGGACCGAGGCUAGGUUUGACA